RNAcentral lists this transfer RNA (77 nucleotides) under Paracoccaceae bacterium. RNAcentral's name for it is "Rhodobacteraceae bacterium (activated sludge metagenome) tRNA-Asp". It matches the Rfam family "tRNA". Rfam says of the family: Transfer RNA (tRNA) molecules are approximately 80 nucleotides in length. Their secondary structure includes four short double-helical elements and three loops (D, anti-codon, and T loops). Further hydrogen bonds mediate the characteristic L-shaped molecular structure. tRNAs have two regions of fundamental functional importance: the anti-codon, which is responsible for specific mRNA codon recognition, and the 3' end, to which the tRNAs corresponding amino acid is attached (by aminoacyl-tRNA synthetases). tRNAs cope with the degeneracy of the genetic code in two manners: having more than one tRNA (with a specific anti-codon) for a particular amino acid; and 'wobble' base-pairing, i.e. permitting non-standard base-pairing at the 3rd anti-codon position. Lineage: Bacteria; Pseudomonadati; Pseudomonadota; Alphaproteobacteria; Rhodobacterales; Paracoccaceae. The record is from RNAcentral.
GCGGUUGUAGCUCAGUCGGUUAGCCUACCGGCCUGUCACGCCGGGGGUCGCGGGUUCGAGCCCCGUCAACCGCGCCA